This 185-nucleotide RNase P RNA is filed under the name Anaerolineales bacterium. RNAcentral's name for it is "partial RNase P RNA component class A". It matches the Rfam family "Bacterial RNase P class A", at positions 1 to 172 of the family's 367-position model. From Rfam's summary of the family: Ribonuclease P (RNase P) is a ubiquitous endoribonuclease, found in archaea, bacteria and eukarya as well as chloroplasts and mitochondria. Its best characterised activity is the generation of mature 5'-ends of tRNAs by cleaving the 5'-leader elements of precursor-tRNAs. Cellular RNase Ps are ribonucleoproteins. The record is from RNAcentral. Lineage: Bacteria; Bacillati; Chloroflexota; Anaerolineae; Anaerolineales.
CAAGCUAGCCGGGUGAUCGCGGCAGUGGGUCUACGGGCUGCGCUGCUGAGGAAAGUCCGCACUCCAUAGAGCACGGUGCCGGCUAACAGCCGGGCGGGGCGACCCGACGGCAAGUGCAACAGAGAGGUGUAUUGCUCCGCAGCAGUUUCGGCUGCUGCCAGCGAGGGUGAAACGGUGGUGUAAGA